Molecule: ribosomal RNA, 626 nt
Filed under: uncultured bacterium
Lineage: Bacteria
Description: bacterial SSU rRNA
Rfam family: Bacterial small subunit ribosomal RNA
Source: RNAcentral
GAUGGGCUCGAGUCCAAUUAGCUAGAUGGUGAGAUAACAGCCCACCAUGGCAACGAUUGGUAGCCGGCCUGAGAGGGUGAUCGGCCACACUGGAACUGAGACACGGUCCAGACUCCUACGGGAGGCAGCAGUGGGGAAUAUUGGGCAAUGGGCGAAAGCCUUACCCAGCAAUGCCGCGUGUAUGAAGAAGGUCUUCGGAUUGUAAAGUACUAUAUUGGGGAAGAACACAAUGACGGUACCCAAGAGAAAAAGCCCCGGCUAACUAUGUGCCAGCAGCCGCGGUAAUACAUAGGGGGCUAGCUUUGUCCGGAAUUACUGGGCGUAAAGGGUGCGUAGGUGGCAAUGUAUGUUGGAAGUGUAAUCCCUCGGGCUUAACUCAGGGGCUGCUUCCAAAACUGCAUUACUUGAGUGUCGGAGAGGAAAACGGAAUUCCUAGUGUAGCGGUGAAAUGCUCAGAUAUUAGGAGGAACACCAGAGGCGAAGGCGGUUUUCUGGACGACAACUGACGCUGAGGCACGAAAGCGUGGGGAGCGAUUGGGAUUAGAUACCCCAGUAGUCCACGCCGUAAAUGAUGGGUACUUGAUGUUGGGAGUAUCAACUCUUCCAGUGUCGUAGCAAACGCGAUA